GAAACUAGAAAACUUACAAAAUCCAAAAGGAAGAAAACUAAAAAUUAUCAUAAGAUAAGAUUACAUGCGAUCUACUCAUGGGAUACUAUUGCUGGAAUUUGUGUGAAAACUGGGUUGCAUUUGUAUUUGCCUUUAGCAGUAUUGCACACAAGGAUUUAGUAGUAGUCAGCAUUCAGCAACACAGCAGUAUAACAGCACUGUGAAUCUUGCAACAAUGUACUACUCAGCAUGAACGGUCAGGGCUUCCUUGGGACACCAAACACCGGUCAGUAGCCAGUGACAAAAUGGUAUGUAUAUCAUUACUUUCUCUUGACAUGUUUAUGGAUUGUACAACACGCACAGCUUGGCAAGAAUUAUUGUGUAAAGGAUUUGUCAAGAUAUUAAAAACCAGUGCUCAUUUUAUUGUAAUAGUACAUUACAAACUGACAUGCAGACAAAAUACAUUCCUGUAUGAAAUUACCUCAAACAGCAAAGAAGAAAAGAGAGAGAAAAACACUAAUUGAAUUCCAUUUUCCAGAGGAAAAUUUAUUGACAUUCAUGAAAUGAAGUCCCCAUAAAAACAACUUGCAUAGCAAAAGAAAUUUAAUCAAAAGCACGAAACAAAAUCCCUAAUGUUUAGUUCUCUGAAGAUUUGAAGACGAACUAAUAGGCAUCGGGAUUGGCCAAGAGGUAGGCUUCAACAGCCUUGAACAUGGCAGUGGCUGUUCCCUUGGCUUCAUUGAUUUUUUCCUCUGGAAUCACAAUGUCACCCUUUGUGUGGUAUGUGGUGAUGGUCUUCCAGACAGACCCUCCAUCAGAAGAUGCCUCAAUCUUGUUCUCCGAACUGAUUUUGUCGAGAGCACCCCUCAGAAUUUCACCUUCGAUUAUGCUG
Long non-coding RNA from Tripterygium wilfordii, 871 nucleotides. RefSeq lists it as uncharacterized. The transcript is spliced from 2 exons. The record is from RefSeq and is a predicted model, not a curated record. Lineage: Eukaryota; Viridiplantae; Streptophyta; Magnoliopsida; Celastrales; Celastraceae.